Molecule: ribosomal RNA, 478 nt
Filed under: uncultured bacterium
Lineage: Bacteria
Description: partial 16S ribosomal RNA
Rfam family: Bacterial small subunit ribosomal RNA
Source: RNAcentral
GACGAACGCUGGCGGCGUGCUUAACACAUGCAAGUCGAACGGUAAGGCCCUUCGGGGUACACGAGUGGCGAACGGGUGAGUAACACGUGGGUGAUCUGCCCUGCACUUCGGGAUAAGCCUGGGAAACUGGGUCUUAUACCGGAUAGGACCACUGCCUGCAUGGGUGGUGGUGGAAAGCUUUUGCGGUGUGGGAUGGGCCCGCGGCCUAUCAGCUUGUUGGUGGGGGGAUGGCCUACCAAGGCGACGACGGGUAGCCGGCCUGAGAGGGUGACCGGCCACACCGGGACUGAGAUACGGCCCAGACUCCUACGGGAGGCAGCAGUGGGGAAUAUUGCACAAUGGGCGCAAGCCUGAUGCAGCGACGCCGCGUGAGGGAUGACGGCCUUCGGGUUGUAAACCUCUUUCAGCACCGACGAAGCGCAAGUGACGGUAGGUGCAGAAGAAGGACCGGCCAACUACGUGCCAGCAGCCGCAGUAA